UGUCCUCGUUAGGUGAGGCUCCUAUACAAACAUAGGCCACUGCCCGGAAAUAUCGAAAGAUGCCAAUGGGUAGAACAGGAGUUGCCGGAAUAAGGCUUCUCUCAAUGUGGCUAAGAGCAUAUGCUCUUUACGUUGUAUAGUGCCAAAACUCGACUAGGG
Molecule: small RNA, 159 nt
Filed under: Numidum massiliense
Lineage: Bacteria; Bacillati; Bacillota; Bacilli; Caryophanales; Bacillaceae
Description: M-box riboswitch (ykoK leader)
Rfam family: M-box riboswitch aptamer (ykoK leader)
About the family: M-box riboswitch, also know as ykoK leader is described as a metaloregulatory RNA that sense divalent metals and function as a genetic control element of genes related to divalent metal transport in bacteria. It was first reported upstream of the B.subtilis ykoK gene and genes with related functions in other bacteria. Phylogenetic analysis of the distribution of M-box RNAs across bacterial genomes revealed that M-box riboswitches are most often employed for the regulation of Mg2+ transporter genes
Source: RNAcentral